RNAcentral lists this transfer-messenger RNA (371 nucleotides) under Nitrobacter sp. It matches the Rfam family "Alphaproteobacteria transfer-messenger RNA". From Rfam's summary of the family: Bacterial tmRNA, also known as 10Sa RNA or SsrA, is named for its dual tRNA and mRNA-like properties. Its role is to liberate the mRNA from a stalled ribosome. To accomplish this part of the tmRNA is used as a reading frame that ends in a translation stop signal. The record is from RNAcentral. Lineage: Bacteria; Pseudomonadati; Pseudomonadota; Alphaproteobacteria; Hyphomicrobiales; Nitrobacteraceae. RNAcentral also lists the same sequence under 1 other name.
CAUCUUUUUUCAUCCGGGAUUGAGGAUUAUAUUGGGGUCGCCGGUUCGCCGGCUAUGGAAAUAAAUGGCCGCCGUAAUAAACCAUUCGGACCCGGGGGCAGUACCCGGCGCCUCCACCAGAGCCCGACCCGGCUUUCGUUCUUUAAAACUGCGGGUUCCGGCGGGGGCGAAACAGGAUCGACGAGGGCGUAAAGGGCUCGCUUUUUCCCGGUAUGGUUCCGCCGUUAUCGGGCUAUGCAAUAGUUGCAAACGACAACUAUGCUCCGGUUGCUCAGGCUGCGUAACGCGGUUUGAAAGACCACUCUGAAGUCCUGAUGGGUUAAGCUCCGUCAGGCGGGGUUCGGAGGCACCUGGCAACAGAAGCCUCCACU